This 1543-nucleotide ribosomal RNA is filed under the name Salmonella enterica subsp. enterica serovar Carmel. RNAcentral's name for it is "partial 23S ribosomal RNA". It matches the Rfam family "Bacterial large subunit ribosomal RNA", at positions 1292 to 2818 of the family's 2925-position model. Lineage: Bacteria; Pseudomonadati; Pseudomonadota; Gammaproteobacteria; Enterobacterales; Enterobacteriaceae. The record is from RNAcentral.
GAAUGCUGACAUAAGUAACGAUAAAGCGGGUGAAAAGCCCGCUCGCCGGAAGACCAAGGGUUCCUGUCCAACGUUAAUCGGGGCAGGGUGAGUCGACCCCUAAGGCGAGGCCGAAAGGCGUAGUCGAUGGGAAACGGGUUAAUAUUCCCGUACUUGGUGUUACUGCGAAGGGGGGACGGAGAAGGCUAUGUUGGCCGGGCGACGGUUGUCCCGGUUUAAGCGUGUAGGUGUGUGUUCCAGGUAAAUCCGGUUCACUUUAACACUGAGGCGUGAUGACGAGGCACUACGGUGCUGAAGCAACAAAUGCCCUGCUUCCAGGAAAAGCCUCUAAGCAUCAGGUAACAUCAAAUCGUACCCCAAACCGACACAGGUGGUCAGGUAGAGAAUACCAAGGCGCUUGAGAGAACUCGGGUGAAGGAACUAGGCAAAAUGGUGCCGUAACUUCGGGAGAAGGCACGCUGACACGUAGGUGAAGUGAUUUACUCAUGGAGCUGAAGUCAGUCGAAGAUACCAGCUGGCUGCAACUGUUUAUUAAAAACACAGCACUGUGCAAACACGAAAGUGGACGUAUACGGUGUGACGCCUGCCCGGUGCCGGAAGGUUAAUUGAUGGGGUCAGCGCAAGCGAAGCUCCUGAUCGAAGCCCCGGUAAACGGCGGCCGUAACUAUAACGGUCCUAAGGUAGCGAAAUUCCUUGUCGGGUAAGUUCCGACCUGCACGAAUGGCGUAAUGAUGGCCAGGCUGUCUCCACCCGAGACUCAGUGAAAUUGAACUCGCUGUGAAGAUGCAGUGUACCCGCGGCAAGACGGAAAGACCCCGUGAACCUUUACUAUAGCUUGACACUGAACAUUGAGCCUUGAUGUGUAGGAUAGGUGGGAGGCUUUGAAGUGUGGACGCCAGUCUGCAUGGAGCCGACCUUGAAAUACCACCCUUUAAUGUUUGAUGUUCUAACGUGGACCCGUGAUCCGGGUUGCGGACAGUGUCUGGUGGGUAGUUUGACUGGGGCGGUCUCCUCCUAAAGAGUAACGGAGGAGCACGAAGGUUGGCUAAUCCUGGUCGGACAUCAGGAGGUUAGUGCAAUGGCAUAAGCCAGCUUGACUGCGAGCGUGACGGCGCGAGCAGGUGCGAAAGCAGGUCAUAGUGAUCCGGUGGUUCUGAAUGGAAGGGCCAUCGCUCAACGGAUAAAAGGUACUCCGGGGAUAACAGGCUGAUACCGCCCAAGAGUUCAUAUCGACGGCGGUGUUUGGCACCUCGAUGUCGGCUCAUCACAUCCUGGGGCUGAAGUAGGUCCCAAGGGUAUGGCUGUUCGCCAUUUAAAGUGGUACGCGAGCUGGGUUUAGAACGUCGUGAGACAGUUCGGUCCCUAUCUGCCGUGGGCGCUGGAGAACUGAGGGGGGCUGCUCCUAGUACGAGAGGACCGGAGUGGACGCAUCACUGGUGUUCGGGUUGUCAUGCCAAUGGCACUGCCCGGUAGCUAAAUGCGGAAGAGAUAAGUGCUGAAAGCAUCUAAGCACGAAACUUGCCCCGAGAUGAGUUCUCCCUGA